GAUGAACGCUGGCGGCGUGCCUAAUACAUGCAAGUCGAGCGAACAGACGAGGAGCUUGCUCCCCUGACGUUAGCGGCGGAGGGGUGAGUAACACGUGGAUAAUCUACCUAUAAGACUGGGAUAAAUUCGGGAAACCGGCGCUAAUACCGGACAAUAUAUUGUACCGCAUGGUUCACUAGUGAAAGACGGUUUUGUUGGUACCUAGAGACGCAUCCGCGCCGCAUUGGCUAGUUGGGAAGGUAACGGCUUACCAAGGCAACGAUGCUAAUCCGACCGGAGAGGGUGUACGGCUAGACUGGAUCUGAGAAUGGUCCCAGACUCUUGCGGUAGGAGGCGGCCGGGAAUCUUCCGCAAUGGGGGAAAGCCGAACGUUACAACGCCGCGUGAGUCAUGAAGGUCUUCGGCUGGUAAAACUCUGUUAUUAGGAAGGAUGAAAUGUGUAGUUAACUGUGCACAUCUUGACGGUACCUUAACAGAAAGCCACGGCUAACUACGUG
RNAcentral lists this ribosomal RNA (497 nucleotides) under uncultured bacterium. Its description in RNAcentral is "partial 16S ribosomal RNA". It matches the Rfam family "Bacterial small subunit ribosomal RNA", at positions 28 to 507 of the family's 1533-position model. The record is from RNAcentral.